RNAcentral lists this ribosomal RNA (363 nucleotides) under uncultured bacterium. Its description in RNAcentral is "bacterial SSU rRNA". It matches the Rfam family "Bacterial small subunit ribosomal RNA", at positions 29 to 400 of the family's 1533-position model. The record is from RNAcentral.
AGCGAACGCUAGCGGCGGGCCUAACACAUGCAAGUCGAGCGGGGAGCAAUCCCAGCGGCGAACGGGUGAGUAACACGUAGGUAAUGUGCCUUUUGGUGGGGAAUAACCGUGGGAAACCAUGGCUAAUACCGCAUAUCGUGCUUCGGCAUGAAAGCUUCUGAGGCAACUCGGGGCGCCAGUUGAGCAGCCUGCGUCCCAUUAUUUAGUCCUAGUUGGUAGGGUAAUGGCCUACCAAGGGUACGAUGGGUAGCUGGUCUGAGAGGAUGAUCAGCCACACUGGAACUGAGACACGGUCCAGACUCCUACGGAGGCAGCAGUGGGGAAUAUUGCGCAAUGGGGGAAACCCUGACGCAGCCACGCCGC